Molecule: ribosomal RNA, 639 nt
Filed under: Mrakia sp.
Lineage: Eukaryota; Fungi; Basidiomycota; Tremellomycetes; Cystofilobasidiales; Mrakiaceae
Description: LSU rRNA
Rfam family: Eukaryotic large subunit ribosomal RNA
Source: RNAcentral
UGCAUAUCAAUAAGCGGAGGAAAAGAAACUAACAAGGAUUCCCCUAGUAACGGCGAGUGAAGCGGGAUGAGCUCAAAUUUAAAAUCUGGCGGCCUCAGGUCGUCCGAGUUGUAGUCUAGAGAAUCGUUUUCCGCGUUGGCCUGUGUACAAGUCCCUUGGAACAGGGCGUCAUAGAGGGUGAGAAUCCCGUCCUUGACACAGAUUACCAAUGCUUUGUGAUGCGAUCUCGAAGAGUCGAGUUGUUUGGGAAUGCAGCUCAAAAUGGGUGGUAAAUUCCAUCUAAAGCUAAAUAUUGGCGAGAGACCGAUAGCGAACAAGUACCGUGAGGGAAAGAUGAAAAGCACUUUGGAAAGAGAGUUAAACAGUACGUGAAAUUGUUAAAAGGGAAACGAUUGAAGUCAGUCAUGCUUUCCGAGACUCAGCCGAUUCUGUCGGUGUACUUCUCGGUUGGCAGGCCAGCAUCAGUUUCGAUCUGUGGAAAAGGUUGGAGGGAACGUGGCAUCCUCGGAUGUGUUAUAGCCCUUCUUCGAAUACAUAGAGCGGGACUGAGGAACGCAGCGCGCCUUUUAUUAGGUUGGCCCUCGGGUACAUACGCGCUUAGGAUGCUGGCAUAAUGGCUUUAAACGACCCGUCUUGAAA